GGAGCGUUCUGUAAGCCUGCGAAGGUGUGCUGUGAGGCAUGCUGGAGGUAUCAGAAGUGCGAAUGCUGACAUAAGUAACGAUAAAGCGGGUGAAAAGCCCGCUCGCCGGAAGACCAAGGGUUCCUGUCCAACGUUAAUCGGGGCAGGGUGAGUCGACCCCUAAGGCGAGGCCGAAAGGCGUAGUCGAUGGGAAACAGGUUAAUAUUCCUGUACUUGGUGUUACUGCGAAGGGGGGACGGAGAAGGCUAUGUUGGCCGGGCGACGGUUGUCCCGGUUUAAGCGUGUAGGCUGGUUUUCCAGGCAAAUCCGGAAAAUCAAGGCUGAGGCGUGAUGACGAGGCACUACGGUGCUGAAGCAACAAAUGCCCUGCUUCCAGGAAAAGCCUCUAAGCAUCAGGUAACAUCAAAUCGUACCCCAAACCGACACAGGUGGUCAGGUAGAGAAUACCAAGGCGCUUGAGAGAACUCGGGUGAAGGAACUAGGCAAAAUGGUGCCGUAACUUCGGGAGAAGGCACGCUGAUAUGUAGGUGAAGUCCCUUGCGGAUGGAGCUGAAAUCAGUCGAAGAUACCAGCUGGCUGCAACUGUUUAUUAAAAACACAGCACUGUGCAAACACGAAAGUGGACGUAUACGGUGUGACGCCUGCCC
RNAcentral lists this ribosomal RNA (647 nucleotides) under Shigella sonnei. RNAcentral describes it as "partial 23S ribosomal RNA". It matches the Rfam family "Bacterial large subunit ribosomal RNA", at positions 1233 to 1864 of the family's 2925-position model. The record is from RNAcentral. Lineage: Bacteria; Pseudomonadati; Pseudomonadota; Gammaproteobacteria; Enterobacterales; Enterobacteriaceae.